GCAUUCCAGCAUGGCACAGGGAGGGCGCGGAGGACACCCUGAGGCUCAAGGAGUCUAUCCCUGACUGCCACAGGCCACAGGUCAGCGCACAGAGAAACGUAAAAACCAGAACGAAAACUCUGACCCAGUUAGCCUGAGACACGCCAGGCCCACUGCGCGGCCCCCAGGAGCUGAUGCGCCGGAGGGCUGGAGGAGGCCAGGCGUGACCAGUUUCGGUGGAAGCUUCCCAAGUAGCUGGGACUACAGACCCACGUGACUGUGUCCAGCUUUCAGAGUGAACCAGGAAUUGAACUUGAGACCUCCACGUGGCUUCGCCACGCAGCAGCAUCUACCAGCACGCAGGACCUGAGGGUGGGCCUCCUUAUGUGCAGUCAGAGUGGAGACUUGCUGCUCCGACCUGAGCUGCCAGAAGGCACUUAAUCCCUGGUGCCGAGGAGGAUCGAAGCGAACCAGCUGCAUCCCAGGAUCUGUGAGGUCGGCCUGCCCCAGGUGUCCAGCAGAGAAGAGGGGCCAGCCAGGCAGAAGGGCGAGGGUUGACUGUUCCCCCAGCCUUGCUGGAGCUGGAAUUCCACUUUCCAAAAUCCACCAGGAAAGGUGAACAGCCCUUGGGGAGGUCCUGGCAAAGCCCUGGCUCUCCAUGUUCAGCAAGGAUCUUCUGCCCCUCCGAUUUCUGUUAGGGAGACCGAGGCUCACGGAGGGAACAUGGCUUGCUCUCACCAAGACGUCUCUCACUGCAACAUGCACACAAAUCUCAUGGGGAUCUUGUUAAGAUACAUGUCGUCCGGGCCUAGCAGAUGGUGUAGUGGUUAUAUCGCUGGACUCCCACAUGACUGGCCAUGGUUCAAGUCCUGG
Molecule: long non-coding RNA, 852 nt
Organism: Tupaia belangeri chinensis (Chinese tree shrew)
Lineage: Eukaryota; Metazoa; Chordata; Mammalia; Scandentia; Tupaiidae
Exons: 3
Source: RefSeq, a predicted model, not a curated record